GUGAAGGAGAGAGACACGCGUGAGCCGGGGGUGCUGGCGCCCCCAUCAUGCCCGCACCCACCCUGAUUCCCACCCCAGGGCACUCCCACCAGAACACUUCAUCCCAGCAUAAAAGACAAUCCCUCAGAGCUCAGUGAGGCCAGGGAACAGGUGGAGUUCUCCCAUCCUGAAGUGACACAGAGGAUAAAGGACUUGCCCAAGGCCACAGACACACGGGGACAGAGCCCUCCACUUCCAAUUUCAGUUCAAAGCCUGGAAAGCUGUCUUCUGCCGGGAGCCAAGGAAAAUGAUGACAAUUCUGCCCUGAGGCGUGAACAAGGCUGUACCAAGAUGUCUUGGCUGUGAGCGUGGAGCACACCAAGGUAGGACCAGCGAUACCACAGAAAAGCCAGCAGACGACUGCAGGCACUAAAAGGAGC
Budorcas taxicolor (takin) is the source of this 419-nucleotide long non-coding RNA. RefSeq lists it as uncharacterized. The transcript is spliced from 3 exons. The record is from RefSeq and is a predicted model, not a curated record. Lineage: Eukaryota; Metazoa; Chordata; Mammalia; Artiodactyla; Bovidae.